Molecule: ribosomal RNA, 253 nt
Filed under: uncultured bacterium
Lineage: Bacteria
Description: partial 16S ribosomal RNA
Rfam family: Bacterial small subunit ribosomal RNA
Source: RNAcentral
UACGAGGGGUGCAAGCGUUGCUCGGAAUUAUUGGGCGUAAAGGGUAGGUAGGUGGUCUCAUUUGUCUGGGGUGAAAGCCUUGAGCUUAACUCAAGAAGUGCCCCGGAAACGGUGAGACUGGAGUCUUGGAGAGGGUCGUGGAAUUCCCGGUGUAGCGGUGAAAUGCGUAGAUAUCCGGAGGAACACCGGUGGCGAAGGCGGCUUCCUGGACCGACACUGACGCUGAGGCGCGAAAGCUAGGGGAGCAAACGGG